Sorghum bicolor (sorghum) is the source of this 1159-nucleotide RNA transcript. It is a transcript of the gene named B3 domain-containing protein Os06g0194400, with no coding region annotated. The record is from RefSeq and is a predicted model, not a curated record. Lineage: Eukaryota; Viridiplantae; Streptophyta; Magnoliopsida; Poales; Poaceae. The transcript is spliced from 6 exons.
CGGGACCACAAAUAGACGAAACCCCCCAUUCUUGUUUUCUCUGCACCGACGCCUCGUCUGCUCUGCUCCCCGAAGCUGCUCAAGUGGGGAACCGGAGAGAAGGGAGAUGGCGGAGGCGGUGGCGUACGAGGAGCAGCGGCGGAGGCAGAUAGAGGCGAACAAGCGGAAGCUGGAGGAGCUGCAGCUCCACCACCUCUCUGCCGCCGUCAGAGAGGCCGCCGCCGCUGCCAAACCCUCGUCGGCCAAGAAGCGGAAGGCUCAGGUGCCGCGGGACGCCGCCGCGGAGCCGCUACGGCGUUCUGGCCGAGUCGCCAACCUCCCCGAGAAGCCCAUCUACCGCGAGGUCAAGGUGAACUCGCCAUUUCUGCAGGUCAGCAAGUCCAAUGCGUCGGUGCUGUGGGACGCUGCCACCUCCGUGGUGGCGGAGCCGCUACGGUGGUCCGGCCGACUCGCCAACCUCCCCGAGAAGCCCAUGUACCGCGAGGAUUCGGACGAGGAAAGGAGCUACGCCAUCUCUAAGGCUGAUGAGCUGGUGCAAGAGCUGGGCUCCAGCUUCCCCAUCUUCACCCAGCCCAUUACACUGUCCCAUGUCACCGGAGGCUUCUGGCUGGACCUCCCAAAGUAUUUCUGCCAGAAGCACCUGCCGAAGAGUGAUGAGACGAUAACCCUGGUGGAUGAGGAGGAUGACGAGUCAGACACACUGUACCUCGUAAGGAAGACUGGCCUCAGCACUGGAUGGAAAGAGUUCGCCAUCGAGCGCAAGCUGCUUGAUGGAGAUUGCUUGGUCUUCCAACUGAUUGAGCGGACAAAGUUCAAGUGGUGCAGGUCUACAUAAUUCGAGCAACUUCGUACUUUGAAAGUGAGUACUGAAACUAGUAGCUUCUAAUAUGGUGAUUGGAGCACAGUUAUGGAGUCGGGAGCGUUGGACAAGUUCGCAUAUGGAAAUUGCUGGGUGUCUUGAACCAUUUGGGUGGCAGAAAGUUAGCUGAUGUAUAAAUGUUUACCGAAUCUAAUAUCUACCAGCCUAAUUAGUGUACUUCUUGGCUUACCAAUUGCACGGUUCAGAAACCUGCACUCUGUAAGGAGAUGCUGAUGGCAAUUGACCUGAUUUUGUAAAUCAUUGAUGCUUGUCCUUGUUUCUCUUGGAUCCUGUGUUCGA